UUCUUGGAGAAUUGGGGCUGGGUUAAAAUUAGAAAAGGUGAUAAAAAAAAAACUUGCGCCACUCUUUCAAUCUGUGGCCUGUUAGACAACGCAGUUUACACUGUGACUCACCAAAUUCACUGUGAAACACAAGAAUAAAAAACAACAGAAAAUAAAAAAAGGGGUGACAAAGAGCAUCACAAUGCAUAUGCGAACAGCUCAGACCCAACUAUUGUCAGGUGAAACAAUGCCUUUGAAAGUAUUCAGGAACCAUCGAGGUGGACGCCAACAUGAGAUGAUGGCAUCUUGUGGAAAGUAAUAUACUUAUGGGGAGUUGGGGGAAAUGGUAUCACUCAGGCCUCAUUCACACUAGGAAUACUUGGAAGCCGUUUCAGGAGGUGUCAGCUGUCGGUAGCUCCCUUAUAGACCCUCUCAGGAAGAGUUUGCGAUCAGCUGUUCUCCCUAACCCGCCCACUUAAGCUUAUUCCGUCCCUCCGUCCCAAGGUGUUAGAUUUUGCCAGAUUACAUUCUUUCAGCAGAUGGCCCAGGAAUCCUGGUAAAAUAUUAGUUUCAAAGGCUACUUAUCUUGGCUUAUUGUUAUAUUGUUUGCUAUAUGUUGUAAAUUAUAAAAAUAAAAACAUUAAUACAUUGUUAGCAGGUAUUAACAUGACUUUAUACACGCGGGACUCAGGAAGGACAAAAGGGUUUUUCAAAUAAAUGCAUUGGAGUUGUUCUUGUAUUGAUGCUCCCCGUCACCGCCAGGGGGAACUAGUGUCUUAUCGACUAUAAAUAAACAAUAAAAGAAGAAAUGUCAACAAAUUGGCUAAACAGUCUAUGCUUUAAUAGUGUGAAACGUCUGCUCCCAACUGGUUUCUUUUCCUGCCCUUCAGAAACAGAUUAAAGAUGGAGGAGGAGGCCCCUCGAACCUAUUAUACCAGAAUGUUUUUAAGUGUCCGGAGCAAGCUUUCCAAAAGCUCUCCAACGUGCCUCCCACGCCAAGAGAGAGAGAAACAUAUAAAACACAGAGAGGAGGGGGGAAGCCUCGUUUCCCAGCCCAAUGCACAAGACCGGACCGAAGAAAACCCGAUUGGAUUUGGCAAACAAGUUGUAAGAGUGGAGGAUAUGGCGAGUGAUCACAGACGGUACAGCGUCCCACUUUCUGGAAAGCCGAACCGAGAGAGAUAUGCAGGGAAGAGUGACCUAACCUCCCACAAUCUCAUGUCUCAAGGCCCCGAAAACCAGCUGGUCCCCACUCGACUUGUUUCAUUGCUAAGGCACAAGACGUUGGUGCAGGAGAUGAGACGGGCUUUGGAGGUCGAACUACACUGCCCUUCUCUCUGUACUGCAUGUGAAGAGGCCCGGGCUUCACUGGCCUUGGAAAGCUUUUAUCAGGAGAAAGAAGACACAACUUGAUGCCGAAGGACGUCAGCAUUACUAACCAAUGGGGCGUGGCAGUUAACCCAGUUUACCGUAUCCUUGUCAAUCAAUUAUUUUUAAUUAAUGAAAUAAUAUUUAAGGCAUUUCACUAUUGUGUUGCAGGACAGCAUGUGCUUUUUGGGAGGGUUGGCGCAGAGCCUUGCCAAAACCUUUCUAUGCCACUAUGAUUUCAGGAGGGAGUACUAGGCAGUGAUAUGCAGGUCACAGCAACCUGUGGUUGCCAUGGCAACAAAUCAGGAACACACGGUUGCCCUGACAACAGAUGAGAUGAGGGGUGACCCUGACAAAAAAACGCAACAGGAACUCAUUUUGCAAGACCUUGCUGUCCUUUUCAGAUAGCUGCAGACAUCACAGGCACAGAACUAAUACGAUGAGGGACGGCCUGUGCGGAGUGAAUCCGACAAAGCACUUUAUUUUAUUUUAUUGGAGGCACAUAGAGAAUGUUACGUAUAGUGGGUUGUAUAUCAAAUUUGGGAUUUAAAUGUAACAUCUACAGCCUGGACUCCUGCUGGAGAUAUAAUUGUAACACUGUGGAAUGUCAACAAACGUCAUCUACAAAUCAUUUGAGUACAAAACAGCCAUUUAUUUUUUUUUGUAUUGUAUUAAAGUUUUAACACACAACACCAUUCAAAGCAUAUAAGUCCCUUUUUUUUUACCUCACGUUCCAGGUUGUGGUCACGUGUACGACAUAAACAUUUAAACAACAUUACAGUUAAUUCAACAUGUCCGAUAAACCUACUGAGGUCUUUCUAUGGUCACAGAAAUACGAGACAGUAAUCCAUAGAAACAUGCUUUCGAAUAACAGUUAAAUUAAAAAGUUGAAAAAGAUAUUUUAAGUGAAUAAACAACAAUAUGAGCAAUACUUCACAACUACUACUACGACACAGUUUUAUUAUUUCCUUCUUUCUUCAAUUUUGGCAGCAGUUCGGUCCAUGGCAAGUAAACCUAAUACACAGUUAUGGUUACAUAUAAACACAGAUCGUUAGUACAGGUUAUGUGGUAUAUUCAUUGCUAAAACUGUAUUAUGGAAACAGCUUUUUAGAGACAGUCAGGCUUCACCUAAAAAACAAAAA
Molecule: long non-coding RNA, 2489 nt
Organism: Gadus macrocephalus (Pacific cod)
Lineage: Eukaryota; Metazoa; Chordata; Actinopteri; Gadiformes; Gadidae
Exons: 2
Source: RefSeq, a predicted model, not a curated record